UUGGGAGCUUGCUCCCAUGAGAGUGGCGCACGGGUGAGUAACGCGUAUGCAACCUACCUUUAACAGAGGGAUAGCCCAUAGAAAUGUGGAUUAAUACCUCAUAGUUCUGAGAGACCGCAUGGUUUUUCAGAUAAAGCUCCGGCGGUUAAAGAUGGGCAUGCGUGACAUUAGUUAGUUGGUGAGGUAACGGCUCACCAAGACUACGAUGUCUAGGGGUUCUGAGAGGAUGAUCCCCCACACUGGUACUGAGACACGGACCAGACUCCUACGGGAGGCAGCAGUGAGGAAUAUUGGUCAAUGGGCGCAAGCCUGAACCAGCCAUCCCGCGUGAAGGAUGAAGGCCCUAUGGGUCGUAAACUUCUUUUAUACACCAAGAAAAAGCAGGACGUGUCCUGCCCCGACGGUAGUGUAUGAAUAAGCAUCGGCUAACUCCGUGCCAGCAGCCGCGGUAAUACGGAGGAUGCAAGCGUUAUCCGGAUUCAUUGGGUUUAAAGGGUGCGUAGGCGGCUUUUUAAGUCAGUGGUGAAAUCCUGUCGCUUAACGAUAGAAUUGCCAUUGAUACUGAAGAGCUUGAGUACAAUUGAGGUAAGCGGAAUGUGUAGUGUAGCGGUGAAAUGCUUAGAUAUUACACAGAACACCGAUUGCGAAGGCAGCUUACUAAACUGUUACUGACGCUGAUGCACGAAAGCGUGGGGAGCGAACA
RNAcentral lists this ribosomal RNA (703 nucleotides) under uncultured bacterium. RNAcentral's name for it is "bacterial SSU rRNA". It matches the Rfam family "Bacterial small subunit ribosomal RNA", at positions 72 to 774 of the family's 1533-position model. The record is from RNAcentral.